AUUGGGACCAUCCCUUGUAGGUGUCUCUUGAAAAUGGCUAUAAAACUUCUUGUCAAAUUGGAGUACUUUGGAAUAUUUAGGAAAAGUUGGCAGAGAGGAGACAGGACUAAAGUGCAGCUCCCACUUGGAUGAACUGAACAGUGUGUGGAGACUCACAUUGUGAAUUUUUGCUCCAAGAACUACCUCAGGAACAUACCAGAAAAACCAAAAGAAUUCACAGACCCUUUGAAAAAAGUGGCUUGCCAGUGCAAACUCCAUGAGACAGCUGAAAAACUGUGCUCUCUGUACACAGAGGGUUUUGUCUGUUUGGUCACCGAUAUAUCUUCAGUGCCCAGAACAGUGCAUGGCAAUGGCAGACUCUCAACUGAUGGUUUAAAGAGGUUGUCUUUUCCAAGGCCCAUCACCUGCUUCACAGAGCUUUGACAGCCUUCAAAAGUUGCCAGAAGAAUACCAGACCACAGCAGUCUGAAAAUGCAUCCCUUCUUAAUUACCAUUUGGUUUGGAACGAGACUGACUCAUCUGUAGCCCUGGCAGCAGCAGGUCCUGGUUGGGAUGGAGGUGAUGCUGGGUCACUGGACAUGCCUGGAACUCUGCCUCUUCCUGCCUCACUCUGGAUUGCUGCUUCAUUGGGUCAUUUGGACUCAACAAAGCAAAAAUGCUGUGAACGUGCCAUUUUACUUAAGAAGCUUGACUUUGAGAGAGCCAAAGAAGGGAUGCCUACAAAGAAAUAUUCAGUGUUUCCCAUUACCUUGGCUUUACUUCAAAAGAAUCACACAUUCUACCCAAGGCUAGCACUAUCUGUGAAAUCCUGAUAUCCCUGAUAUUAAACCAUGAGAAAUAAGCCAUAUUUCCUAUCCUUCAGACACUCCUUUUGGCAGGACAUUUUUGGACAUGGUGCAUGGUAGAUGUUUGGUUUUGGGAUCUGGAUUUAACUUCUAAAUCCAUAACACCAGCUGUGUGACCUUGAAGGAAUCAUGUAAAAUGGGUUAAUGCUCUAAUUCCAGUUUUUAAAAGAAAUAAAUAGGACUAUGAAUGUGAG
Molecule: long non-coding RNA, 1039 nt
Filed under: Homo sapiens (human)
Lineage: Eukaryota; Metazoa; Chordata; Mammalia; Primates; Hominidae
Description: HSALNT0153786
Source: RNAcentral